Molecule: ribosomal RNA, 594 nt
Filed under: Allophaeosphaeria muriformia
Lineage: Eukaryota; Fungi; Ascomycota; Dothideomycetes; Pleosporales; Phaeosphaeriaceae
Description: eukaryotic LSU rRNA
Rfam family: 5.8S ribosomal RNA (bases 226-379)
Source: RNAcentral
CUUCCGUAGGGUGAACCUGCGGAAGGAUCAUUACAAUUCAGUAGCUUGCUACUGGUCGGGAGGUGCUGUAAGUCCGCAUAGUUUAAUUACUGAUGAGCGGCGAGCCCUCUGUCUGCACCCUUGUCUUUUGCGCACUCAUGUUUCCUCGGCGGGCUUGCCCGCCGAUUGGACAGACUUAUAACCUUUUUAAUUUUCAAUCAGCGUCUGAAAAAACUUAAUAAUUACAACUUUCAACAACGGAUCUCUUGGUUCUGGCAUCGAUGAAGAACGCAGCGAAAUGCGAUAAGUAGUGUGAAUUGCAGAAUUCAGUGAAUCAUCGAAUCUUUGAACGCACAUUGCGCCCCUUGGUAUUCCAUGGGGCAUGCCUGUUCGAGCGUCAUUUGUACCCUCAAGCUUUGCUUGGUGUUGGGUGUUUGUCCUCUCCUUUGCGUUUGGACUCGCCUUAAAGCAAUUGGCAGCCAGUGUUUUGGUAUUGAAGCGCAGCACAUUUUGCGAUUCUAGCCGAAAAACUGACGUCCAUAAGCCUUUUUUAACUUUUGACCUCGGAUCAGGUAGGGAUACCCGCUGAACUUAAGCAUAUCAAUAAGCGGAGGA